UUUCACUAUCCUGAACACGGAUACACUGUGACACGCAAGGACGGCAUGUUCGACCUCCUCGCCAACGGUGGAGCGUCCCUCACGUUAAGUUUCGAGCGCGCUCCGUUCCUCACCCAGUACAGGACCGUGUGGGUGCCGUGGAACGUCUUCUACGUGAUGGACACGUUGGUCAUGAAGAAGGAGGAGAACGACAUCCCGAGCUGCGACCUGAGCG
Labrus bergylta (ballan wrasse) is the source of this 214-nucleotide non-coding RNA. The record is from RefSeq and is a predicted model, not a curated record. Lineage: Eukaryota; Metazoa; Chordata; Actinopteri; Labriformes; Labridae.